CCUACGGGGUGCUGCAGUGGGGAAUAUUGGACAAUGGGCGAAAGCCUGAUCCAGCCAUGCCGCGUGUGUGAAGAAGGCCUUCGGGUUGUAAAGCACUUUCAGUGGGGAAGAAAGCCUUGGGGCUAAUACCCUCGAGGAAGGACAUCACCCACAGAAGAAGCACCGGCUAACUCCGUGCCAGCUGCCGCGGUAAUACGGAGGGUGCGAGCGUUAAUCGGAAUUACUGGGCGUAAAGCGCGCGUAGGCGGUCUGAUAAGCCGGUUGUGAAAGCCCCGGGCUCAACCUGGGAACGGCAUCCGGAACUGUCAGGCUAGAGUGCAGGAGAGGAAGGUAGAAUUCCCGGUGUAGCGGUGAAAUGCGUAGAGAUCGGGAGGAAUACCAGUGGCGAAGGCGGCCUUCUGGACUGACACUGACGCUGAGGUGCGAAAGCGUGGGUAGCAAACAGGAUUAGAUACCCGAGUAGUC
Molecule: ribosomal RNA, 465 nt
Filed under: Vreelandella stevensii
Lineage: Bacteria; Pseudomonadati; Pseudomonadota; Gammaproteobacteria; Oceanospirillales; Halomonadaceae
Description: partial 16S ribosomal RNA
Rfam family: Bacterial small subunit ribosomal RNA
Source: RNAcentral